ACAAGCAGCGGAGCUAUGUGGUUUAAUUCGAAGACAACGCGAAGAACUUACCAAGGCUUGACAUCCCCUUGACAGGUGCAAAGUAUGUACCCUUCUCUUCGGAGACAAGGGUGACAGGUGGUGCAUGGUUGUCGUCAGCUCGUGUCGUGAGAUGUUGGGUUAAGUCCCGCAACGAGCGCAACCCUUAUCCUUAGUUGCCAGCAGGUAAAGCUGGGCACUCUAAGGAGACUGCCGGUGAUAAACCGGAGGAAGGUGGGGAUGACGUCAAAUCAUCAUGCCCCUUAUGUCUUGGGCUACACACGUGCUACAAUGGUCGGUACAACGGGGAGCUAAGGAGUGAUCCGGAGCAAAUCCCAAUAAACCGAUCCCAGUUCGGAUUGUAGGCUGCAACUCGCCUACAUGAAGUCGGAGUUGCUAGUAAUCGCGAAUCAGAACGUCGCGGUGAAUGCGUUCCCGGGUCUU
RNAcentral lists this ribosomal RNA (462 nucleotides) under uncultured Sedimentibacter sp. Its description in RNAcentral is "bacterial SSU rRNA". It matches the Rfam family "Bacterial small subunit ribosomal RNA", at positions 925 to 1382 of the family's 1533-position model. Lineage: Bacteria; Bacillati; Bacillota; Tissierellia. The record is from RNAcentral.